AUAGCCAUUAACUCUAGUACUUAUAUAUCGAGUACACGUAUGAUUAGAAAUAAAUUCGUAUUUUCUAAUUUAAAAAAAUUUAGGCAUGAUUGUACUUCAAUAUGGCGAACCGCGACAAAGGACGCAGAAAGUGGGGAGAAUUUUUACAAGAUAAUUCAAAACUAGAUAAAGAUAGAUCAAUGGGAAUGAGAGGUGGAGGAAAUAGGGCAUCCCAGGCUUUAUACAGGCCAGGAAGUGGACCUCUUCGAAAAUCAGGCAGACCUACGGAUGAUCUAGAUAAUGAAAAUAUCUCGCAGGAAAAACCUAAAUCAAGCUCCGUCCAACAUCAUUUAAAACAAUCACAACUCAAUAGACCCAAUCAAUCUCAAAAUAGUCCACCAUCAUCGCAAAUUGAAAAUGUAACAGAAAAAGUGAAUGAUCUAAAUAUUAACUACAGAGGUGUUACAAACGUUGAACAGGCACAAGGCUCUUCUCAAAAUAGCAAUUCUGGAGAUUCGAAAAGGAAAACUAAGAAACCAGAACAACAAUUGUACGUACCCAAAAGAGUUAAAGAAGCAUUGGCAGAACAAGAUACAACAAAUAGAUCUCCCAAUCAAGGGGGCUGGAAUCGGGAUCAAGAGAGAGAGCGUAGUGAGGAUCGUGAUUCUCAUUCCAAUCGUAGUUAUAAAAGUGACAGUCAGCGUAAUCGGUCAAACGGUCGUGGUAGGAGAGACAGUGAGAGCAGAAGUAAAAACAGUGAUGAUCAUGGUAAAAGAUAUUCGGGCAACCGGAGAUCACGUCACGGUAAUGAGAACGAAGAGCGUUGGCGAUCUGAUUCUCCUUUAUCCAGCAGAGGCCACAGAAAUAGGAAAGAUAAUUCGCGUGAGGUCAGACAGGGUUCAGAACCACUUUUUGUAACAACGAAUCAUAUAAAUGAUUUUAAUCGUACCAGAGAUACGCGUAGCGUAGAACCCGCAGGACAUUCGGAAAAAUUUCAAGGCAAACCACCAUCUGGCAAAUGGGGUGGCGGAAAAGAUAGUUUACCAAAAAAUAUAAAAAUAGAGCACUUACCGCCAAGGUUUCAGAAGAAAUAUCUAAUGGACAACGGUUUGCCUUUGCCACCGAGUACGGCACCCUUAGAGGAUACGUGGAAUAGCAGUAAUGUUACAUUUCCGGCAUCAUCGAACUAUAAUUUUCCACCCGCAAUGCAACAUUCGCAAACGAUGCAAAAUUUACCUCCAUCUGGUCCGCUACCGCCGCAACCUAACUGGUCCAAUACCGCACCCCCACGAACUAGAGGUAGAGGUAGACUUAGGCCAGAGGACUUAGAAAAUUCCACAAACAUAUUUAGGUGUGUUACGCCUGAUCAGUAUUCAGCUCCAAGUUCUAGAUCUCAUACACCAAGCCAAGAAUAUAUGCAAAGGUCUUACGAUCGUCGUGGUAGCAAUAGCACUAUGUAUACUAGUAUGGAGAGUUUGAGUCGUGCUGAUAGUUCAAUGAUACCACCACCGUCGUCGGCGUCACCGAUUACUUCAUUACCUAGUGCAAAUAAGCGUCAAAUAUCGCCUGAUAGUCAUCGUCGAGCUACUUCACCGCCUGCGGUUGUCCAACGCGCUCAAACGCAAAGAACAAGUAACACAUCCGAACGUACCAUAACGCAAGAUAAGAAAAAUGGUCAACAAAAUUCAACUGCAUCUUCGAAAAGCGAAUCUAUUAGUACUACAUUGAAUACAUCCCUUGACCAUCCAUUUGAUUGGAACGAAGACGUUGAACUGAAUGAGAAGUUGGAGGCUGAGCGUGCAAGCCGCAGCUCAUCCGUGUUAAGUUUGCGGGAAAAUGUUAAUGCAUUAGGUAACGAGAACACGACAACCGGUCAUAGUCGGAGCAGCCGUAAAAAAAAAAAGCGUGAUAAGAAGCAUGCGGAACGUGGCAGAAGUAACAGCAGAGAUAAAGCUCGUAUUAACAGUCGUGAUCGGCAAAAUAAUCAACAGAAUAGAGAAAAUGAUAAUUAUAAUAAUAAUCAAAAAAACAGUAACACCAGUGGUAGGAGAUACGAACAUAGAAGACAUCGUAAUAUUAUACAACGUAGUCGAGAAUCUAGUAAAGAUAGAAAUUACCGCAGUGGCAAUCGAAAUUUUGACGAUCUCCAUAGACACAGAUUACCCGAUCGACAUUUAGAUGAAAACUGGAGAACAGGCAGGAAAAUGUCAACUUGUGAAUCAGAUGACGGACGACAAACACCUAAUGUUUCUUCGCAUUCUGUUUCGAUAUCAAAUACUGUGACAACGCAUCAAACAUCGUCUAGUGGAUAUACAAGCUCUCAUACACCAGGUGUUUUAAUAUUACCUGAUACUAGCCAGUCCCCGCCUAGUCAUCCAACUCCAAGACAACAAGGACAACAAAUGCAGAGAACGUUAUUUGAUCCCAACAACCCUAAUAAACCAAUCGUUAUUACUUCACCCAACAGCAGAGCAGCUGUACAGAGGGAGAAUGAAACUACGUUACAAAGUCCAACUGUACCAGUGUUUCAGUCGCAUGGAGGAAUUUCUUCUACGCAUCAUAGCUUCCCAGGGGUGCACUUAGACGGUGUGCCACCACCGUACAUGACAAACGACCAAUUCGGAAAUAUAAGACCUUCGUGGUACGAUCCUUGUUCUGAUAGCUUUCGUUUAGCCAAGAACCCUUACUUGCUUUUGGAUAUUGAGCGUGCCGAUUUAGAAUUACAAUGGAUACUGAGUUCCGGUGGUUUCACGUCAAAUUGGGAGGGAGUUAUGACCAUAAGACAAUUUUUACAAGACAGUUUGAAAACUUUGCUCGAGACUGAUAUUAAAUUUUGUCAAGUCGAGAACGUUGAGCAACACUUUUGGAAAAUACUUUUUUAUAAUAUGAUCGAGAUGUUACGAAAGGGCAUGCCUAAGGAAAAUACCGAAGGGCGAGAACAUUACAAAAAGAUCAUGUUAAAAAUUAUCGACGAUGGCACUGUAUAUUUAGAGAGCUUAUUAACUGUUCUCGAAACUAAAUACGAAUUUAAAUUGGACACGUUUCUCGCAUCGUCAACUUUGCCUAAGGGUCUCGGGAUCUUAGGUUUAGCCUUAGUAAGCGCGCAAAAGAUAUACUUAUUUUUGGGUGACUUGGCGAGAUACAGGGAGCAGGCAAAUGAAACAAACAACUAUGGAAAGUCAAGGCAAUGGUAUUUGAAAGCACAACAACUUAAUCCAAAGAAUGGGAGGCCCUACAAUCAGCUGGCAGUACUGGCACAUUAUGCUAGACGAAAAUUAGAUGCGGUGUAUUAUUACAUGCGAUCUCUUAUGGCAUCCAAUCCCUUCCACUCUGCGAGAGAGAGUUUGAUAGCACUCUUUGACGAGAACAGAAGGAAGUAUCUACAUUAUUAUGAAUCAACUGAACGGAAACGGAAAGAGGAACGCGAAUGGAAGGAACGGGCCAGGAUGAAAGAGAAAGAAGGCGCGAAUAAUGUCGGUGGUGGAUUGAGAAGAGAAAUUUGGAUUCACCCUGGUGGAAGACGAGUUCGUCGUACAACUACUGCAGCCACUGCCAACGAAGCGCGACUGUCCCAUAGUGAUUUAGAAGAAUUGGUUCAGUUAAGCAGCGUCGAGGUGAAUAAACGAUUCGUCACAUCUUACCUUCAUGUGCAUGGAAAACUGAUCAACAGGGUAGGAAUGGAGACGUUCCAAGAAGCCGGCGUCCAAAUGUUAAAAGAGUUCCGGGCGCUGCUUCAACAUUCGCCGCUGCCACUUCCUGGGACACGACUCCUCCAGCUUCUGGCGCUGAACAUGUUCGCGAUCGAGUCGACGCAGCUGAAGGAUUCCCAAAUGGAGCAGGGGUACCGGUCCGAGGUCCAAGAAAGGGCACUGGUUGUAUCCUUGCAGAUGUUCAAUUUGAUUUUAGAACGUGGCGUGUCCUUGCUCAAGUCUCAGUUGGACAGCGGCGAGGAGCCGAGAAUGGUUGUUAGCGAGGACAUGCAAGUCCUUUUACCAGCUAUCAAGAUCUGGUGCGAUUGGAUGCUUUGCCACAGCACUGUCUGGAAUCCACCCCCAUCCUGCACGGACUACAGAGUCGGACCGGUUGGUGAUGCCUGGAGCCGACUGGCAACGAUGGUGAAUCUCCUGGAAAAAUUGAAUUACCCCAGAACGAUCCUGAUACAGGCCAAGGACGCGGAGGGUCGCGAAGAUGAGCUUGAAUUGGUCAAACUGCCGGAAGAUAUGACCCUGGCAGGAUUCACGCCGCUAAUGUCGAAUCCACAAGAUCCUUGUUACGCCGAGAAAAACGAAGAUAUGGAAGUUGCUCAAGUGUGCCUCAGGAUAAACAAGAUUCUGUUCUUCGGGCAAGUGUUCCUGUGCGGCCUCGAGACGCCGGUAUUAAAGUUACAAAAGAGUGAAACAGGCAUCAGCGAGUACGUCUCCGUGGUUGAGGCGUCGAGCACGAGUACCCCGAGUUCGCCCCCGGAACAGAGUGACUCCGAGCUCCUAGUGGAAAGUUACAGCGAGGGUGAAGAAGAGCCUGUCAAUACCCCCAGGAGAUUACCCUCGUGUACAGACGUACCUGAUGACAAUACCGCACCUGUGGCCACAGUCGAGAUAAGGUCGCUGAUCGAGAGGAAAGAGGAAUUGGAGAGGCGGCAACGGAAGCAAGAUCGUCAUCGACAGCGAGUGCAGCAAAUACUACAAAAAUCUUCGGUAUCAGUGGAGAUCGAAGUGAGACCAAGGCAACUGGUGCCAGAUACUAACUGCUUCAUCGACUACCUGCCACAACUGCAAAAUAUCGCGAAAGUCACUUCUGGUAUACAACCGAUUUACACGCUUAUGGUGCCGCUUGUUGUUUUGAAUGAACUCGAGGGAUUGACAAGGGGCGCGGAUGCCAGAGACUGUCCUCCAGCCUCGAGGGCAACUCUGGAUCCGGAGCACGUUGCCAGGGUAGCUGAGAGCGCAAAAGCUGCCUUGGCUUUCGCGAGAAGCAGAAAUCCGGCGAUUCGAUGCUUAACCACCAGAGGAACCGUUCUUACGUCCAGCACGUUCACGGUAGAAGAAGACGUUGAUAAGGAUGGGUUGACAAGAAACGAUGACAGAAUACUGGCUACGUGCUUGAGCCUCUGCAAGACGGGUAACAAAGAUCAAGUAAAUGCAGAGGAGGGUCAACCGCGACGACUGCGAAGGGAAGUCGUUCUGCUGACAGAGGACAGAAACCUGAGGGUGAAGGCUCUGGCCCGGGACGUACCUGUAAGGGAGGUGCCCGACUUCAUGCAAUGGGCCGGCCUCGGCUGAGACGGUGUCGCGAUCGAACACACCCGCUAACGAAAAAUCUCCCGUUACUACCCCCGCCGAGUAUAAUAACUUUCGACCAGCAGCAACCAUCACCAAACAGAGUUAGCAGCGAGGAUGCGAAUAGGAAAGAGAAAACGUUGGAAGAGAAUACGUAAAUGCGGAAUGAAGAAACGAACGAUCGUGAUCCCUCUUCGUUGUGGCUGCUCACGCCGCGUGCGACACGGAUUCUUCCCAUUCACACACACAGCAUGUCGGAUGGAACCAAUAAUGGAUGCAGACCGAUGGCUUGUAAAUUGUUGGGUGAGCAACGACUACUCUCGGCAGCUGACAUGGGGGAUUUCAACGUGGCUCGUACUUCUUUGCCAUUCAACUUCAGCCCGAAGUCAGAAGAGCGACAAGAUCAAAGAUAAAGGCGAUCUACAACCCAAUAGAACAGUAAACACUCGCUCGGACGCGGAAUCCUAGCUCCUUUGUCCUUUCUACUUCUCUCAUGCAACAUGCAUUUGUCAAAUGAUUAUACGUGUUACGAUUUAUUCCCUGUUGGCAAAUAGAGCAAUACAGCUCGAGCAGGAAAUCGUGUCAGAUCGCUUGAGGCUUCAGAUUUUUUUUAAGUUUAACAAAUUCUCAAAAGUAUCGUCAUUCUUAUCUAAUAUCUAUACUAUAUGAAAUCUAGUCGAUUAAAUUAGAAUUUCUUUUAAUUCUUCUAUUAAUAGAGAUUUAUAAUGUUUCUUUUGAGAAACUAGAUUUUUUUUAAAGAAUGUCUGAACAGAUUCACAGAUACAAGGGAGUAGAGUAAAAAAAUGUAUGAAGCUGUGAACUCAAUUGAAAAGAAAGAAAGUUCGUUUUGUUAAACGGCGCAAUCGUGUCCGCAUCCCUGACAAUCCCUCGGCCUUCUUCUGUCUCUCAGCUGACGCUUUCAGAAAUAUUUGCCGGCAAUUACUCCCAGGAGCGUUUAAGCGGCUGCGGAAGAAAGAGGUGCAAAAAGAGCAGCGAGGAAUUCCCGCAUGCAUAACGUUGACAAGAUUUAUUGUCACGCGACCAGAUUACGAGAAUCCGGUCCAUGCAGUACGAAUAAUACAUUCGGUGUACCGUUAUCUCGAAAAACGUUUCGGCAAAAAUUCUUCCCGUUCGUGUUCGAUUAAUUGUAAAAUCAGAUUGUAUAGAAUUCACUUUGAUAUUUUCUUGAAAGUUUACUGCAUUUUGUUAACUGAAAAAUACUUUGCGUUUUUUUUUUAAAUUAUUAAGAGGGUCUGUGAGCAUAAUCUUUCAUUAUCACAUGCUUCUAUUAUUUUACCUUACAAUUAUAUUCCAUCAUUUCUGUUCUCAAAAUGAAUGAUAAUAAAAUUGAAGAAAGUUUUGAAGGAAUUCAAGCUGACGCGAAUAAAAAUUUCAAUUCAACCUCGGCGACCGCGAGAGUCCUUAAUUAGCGAUUAGGAGAGGUCCGGAAGGGUAAAGUCUGCAUGGUUCCACCCUUGCCCCAUGUCAUGGAUCUGAAUUCUAACGAACGAUCGUCGGAUUCCUUGCUAAUUGCGCCCGCGAAACCGGAAUGCUCAUUGUUCGAUGAAAGGAAAACGGGGAGGACACGUUUACGUUUCGUCGGUAGCCACUCUUCCCUGUGCCCUCUCAGGUUUCAUUCUUCCCUCUUUCACUGUCGCGCAUACGUCGCAUACCAGAUUCGAGCGUCGCGAAUUUCUUCGAAAUACCACCAUGUACGGGAUAAAAUAAACGUUCGUUGAAAUUAUAGGAUAUUCUGAACAAUAGUGUUCUCAUGCAACGGUUAAUAUAUUGUUUUAAGUACAAGGAAUUCAAUAAAGAUUUGGACGUGUGAAUUGAAAAAUUAGAAACACCAGUUCUAUUGAGAUAAAUAGAAUGUUUUUAAUUUAGGAAUAUUAUAUUCGAUGCUUUCUGUUGCUAUUUCAAAUUGAAUUAUGAUUCGCGGAUUUCCCUUAAGGCAUAAAGAUGGCACGCCCUAGCGAACGAGUCCAAGCGAUCAAGAUUAGUGUACAUAUAAUAUCUAAACCGACUUCCGGGAUAGCUUUCUGUGUCUCUUGAUAAGUAGAGCCAGAGAGAGCGCACACGCCUUUCGGUUCAAGGCCCGUUAUCUCUUAUCGCCGCCCGACCACCCUCCAGUUCGUGGUUUCUAAGCGAAAGAUCGAGCCGUAAAGAUAACAGCUGUCUCCCCCCUCUUACCCUCAGCCUCUUUUCUGCCAUGACGAUUACGAGAAUCAUUCGAAUCCUUAUCCCAUGCCGACGGAAUCUAUGGAAAAAUCGUUUAGCAAAGUAUCAUUGCCGGAAGAAAAUGACAUAAGUUAUAAACCGCUGUAUCAUAUAUAAAUAACCCUAUAUAACAAAUGUUGAAUCUGUCCUAAUCAUACAAGUUUUCACGUUAUUUCCUUCACGAUGAAACUUUAGACAGCUUAGAAGAAUACGUCGAUCAAUUUCUUUCUUAUAAUUUCGAUGGCACUUUUUGAGUUGGCGAAGCUACAGUGAAGUCAAUAAUGAGUUAUCGUCGGUCAUUGGCAUAACGGUGCCAGUGGCUCGUCAGCGAGUCCUAAGAACUUGACUUUUCACCCUGAAGGGGACGAAGUGGCUCGAUUAUCAAAGGUCAGCCGGAUCGUUAGCCGUGGACUCCCGUAAAUCGACGUAGGUCAGUGAAUCGCGAAUCAGUGCGGCUCCCUCGUGCGAACCUCGUUGACCCGAUUUAAAAGGGAGUUUAGACGCGACUCGUUCGCAAGCGAGAUUCCUGAUCGUCAACCAGAGGAAUCUGAUCAUUUCGUUCUUCGGGCGGUUCU
Ceratina calcarata is the source of this 8050-nucleotide RNA transcript. It is a transcript of the gene named telomerase-binding protein EST1A, with no coding region annotated. The record is from RefSeq and is a predicted model, not a curated record. NCBI's taxonomy places the organism in Eukaryota, Metazoa, Arthropoda, Insecta, Hymenoptera, Apidae. The transcript has 27 exons.